GGCAGUCUUCCGGCUACACAGGAAGAAAAUUGACAGACACGUGUUGCAAACGGACUUGGAGCCUCAGGUUUAAACGUGGUCAUGUUUCUCCAGUAUUAUCUCAAUGAGCAAGGAGAUCGAGUCUACACAUUGAAGGUAAGAAGAGGAAACGUUGUAAGUGGGCAUGACGAGAAGCAUUUUUCGUAAGUGGGAAGAGCGGUUGAGGCCAGCCUCCGAGCUGCCUGUCUGGGUGCGGGGUACCAGAAAGUCUGGCACCGAGGCGCGGUAGAAACGCAGUGCGCAGCUUCUCCAUCUGACUGUCGUGUUUCGGUGCUGCUCUCUCCAAGUCCCAUCACUCUUUUGUGUGUGUGCUGGGGAUUGAACUCAGGGCCUUGUGCAUGCGAAGCAAGCACUCUGUCAAUUGAGCUGUAUCCCCAGGGUUACUUCAUCACUCUUGUAUUGAGAUCAUUUUCCUUUUUCCUCGAGCAGAAAUUUGACCCUAUGGGACAACAGACCUGCUCAGCCCAUCCUGCUCGGUUCUCCCCGGACGACAAAUACUCGCGACACCGAAUCACCAUCAAGAAACGGUUCAAGGUGCUCAUGACUCAGCAACCGCGCCCUGUUCUCUGAGGGUCCCUUAAAUUUCAUGUUUCGUCUGUCGCCUGCUCGGUUUCGAAGAAUCCGUAACCCAACCACCCAUGCCCUUUGGAAUCCAGUCUCCUCCGAUUGCCUUUAAUCAUGCUUAUUUGAGGCCAUCAUGGUGGCAUCCUCUUUAAAGGGAACACGUUUUUCAUAUUUUGAAUUAUUGCCACGUUAUUAAAGAUAAAAUGAUUUG
This 814-nucleotide long non-coding RNA is filed under the name Marmota monax (woodchuck). The record is from RNAcentral. Lineage: Eukaryota; Metazoa; Chordata; Mammalia; Rodentia; Sciuridae.